UUUUAAGGCACUAGUUGCAGGAACAGAGAUUUCUUUCUGCUAAAUGAAUCUUGACAGAUUCAUUUCCAUCGGAAUACAUCGUCUUCAACGACAGGUGACCAACCCACUAGGAACACUUAUAUAGGGCACUCAUCAUGAAUGGAGCUUGCAGUUCUGGAAGUCGCUCUUGGAAAGACUCCGCUUCCAGAAAGAUGACUGACUUACUGAUUGAUACAUGUGGAAUGGAACACCAGGCCUGGCUCUUGACCCCCCUGGGAAGGAGUCAGCUAGCAGAAAGCAAACAUUCUGUUUUGCUCUGUUGUCAGGGCGGAGUCUCACUCUUUCGCCCAGGCUGGAAUACAGUGGUGUGAUCUCAGCUCACUUCAACCUCCGCCUCCCUGGUUCAAGCGAUUCUCCUGCCUCAGCCUCCCGAGUAGCUGGGACUACAGGUGCCUGCCACCACGCCUGGCUAAUCUUUUUAUUUUUAUUUUUAUUUUAUUUUUAGUAGAGAUGGGGCUUCACCGUGUUAGCCAGGAUGGUCUCGAUCUCCUGACCUCGUGAUCCGCCCACCUCAGCCUCCCAAAGUGCUGGGAUUACAGGCGUGAGCCACCACGCCUGGCCCCCAGUUUCAUUUUUCUUCAUAUCACUUAUCACCACCACAUAGACAUAUAUGUGUUCCAUGUUCCUCCUUGUCUAGCACAGGGGAAACACUUGAUCUGCUUGCUCUGUUGACAAUGACUGUGAAGAUGCACAUAUACUUGUAUCAUGCUUAUUUGUUAGCCAGACAAAGUUCUAAAUGUUUUACAAUGAUUACCUCAUUUAAUAUUAUAUCAUAUCACCUCAUAUCAACCUUCUAAGAUAAGAACUGUUAUCGUCUGUACUUUCUAGAUAAAGAAACUGAGGCACAGAGAGAUUACAAAAUCUGCCCAAGGUCACAGAGCUAGUAAGGGGUGGAGCAGAUAUUUAAACAUAGUCAGAUUGUAUCCUUGAUGAGAAUUACAAACAGGAACAGAGCAAAGACAUGGUUUUGUUCAUGUUCUACCCUCAGGGCAUGGAAUAAUGCCUAGCACUUAGCAUAAAUGAAUGAAUAAAUGAAAUAAUGUUAUCCGUUUCUUAGAAUUAUUUUGAAGAUUAAAAAUAGUCAUGUAAAGGGCUUAAACCAGUCCAUGGCACAUAGUCAGAGCUCAAUACAGAUUAAGAAAAAACAGAACUUCUGGUUAACUUUGGGCUGUAUCAAUACCCUCUCUCUUUAUGUUCUGAACAGUAAUUUGAUAUUGUAAUGGGUUCUCAACUUAAAAUUUGAAGAACAGUUCUCAAGCUAUGCUCAGAUCUAUCAAAUGUAUAAUUGCUAGACUCUGAACCGGACUAAUGUCUUUAGUUCUAAAAUCAAAUAAUGGGAUUUUUCUCAACUCUCAGAAAACAUCAAACAAGUGAAUAUGAUUUUCUAAAUUUUAGGUGUUUCUCCCAUGUAUUUUUCUUAAAACAUCAACUACUACAUCUUAUCUGCUGGGUACAAGAAUGAGUGAAUAAGUAGCAAAUACUAACAGGAAAAGAUGGAAAGAGCCCUAGUUGGAAAUCAGAAAGCAGCCAUGGUUUAUUUAUAAAUAUAAGAUCAAGGGAAUGUGAUUUACAACACCAACACUGAAUAUUCUUGAAAAAGAAAUUAAAUAAAUGCAUAAAUAUUUGUUUAUCUGUCUAGGUAUCUCCAUUUAGAUUUAGAUAUGUAGAUACAUUUAUUUGGUACUAAAUCAGAGUUUUUGGGAUUGAAAUAAAUCAUCCAUAUUUUAUCAUAACACAAGGAGCACCUUUAAUUUCAGGAUAUUCUGCUUCCUGAACAAGUUAAAUAGCCAUUGAACUAGGAAAGCAAAAAUAAAAAGUAAAAACCUGGCAAACUCAGUGUUAGAGAUUUCCCACCGGCUCCCUCUCCACUUCAAUGAGGAAGCCCACGAGAAUUUUAGCAGAACUGUAUUUGCAGUGUAACUUUGGUCUGAAGUUUCUUCUCCACCCAAAUGGAACUCAAUCAAAUAUGUGGAUUGCCAGGAAGUAUAGUUCUAUAAUUUUAUUUUAUUUUAUUUUUUGAGAUGGAGUCUCGCUCUGUUGUCCAGGCUGGAGUGCAGUGACAUGAUCUCAGCUCACAGCUACCUCCACCUCCUUGGUUCAAGCGGUUCUCCUG
This 2152-nucleotide long non-coding RNA is filed under the name Homo sapiens (human). Its description in RNAcentral is "HSALNT0091253". Lineage: Eukaryota; Metazoa; Chordata; Mammalia; Primates; Hominidae. The record is from RNAcentral.